RNAcentral lists this ribosomal RNA (492 nucleotides) under uncultured bacterium. RNAcentral's name for it is "partial 16S ribosomal RNA". It matches the Rfam family "Bacterial small subunit ribosomal RNA", at positions 29 to 507 of the family's 1533-position model. The record is from RNAcentral.
AGUGAACGCUGGCGGUAGGCCUAACACAUGCAAGUCGAACGGCAGCACAGUAAGCUUUUGCUCUUACGGUUGGCGACUGGCGGACGGGUGAGGCAUACAUCAGCUACCACUUUUUCUUGGGGGACAACGGGGGGACACUUAUGCUACUACCUCAUACUAUCUACGGGAGAAUUCAGAAGAUCUUCAGACCUUUCCUGUUUGUAUUAGCUGGUGCGGCAUUAGCUAGUUGGCUAGGUAAAGUCCCACCAAGGCAACGAUCCGUAGCUGGUCUGAGAGGAUGAUCAGCCACACUGGAACUGAGACACGGUCCAGACUCCUACGGGAGGCAGCAGUGGGGAAUAUUGGGCAAUGGGCGCAAGCCUGAUGCAGCCAUGCCGCGUGGGUGAAGAAGGCCUUCGGGUUGUAAAGCCCUUUUGUUGGGAAAGAAAAGCAGCAGGUUAAUACCCCGCUGUUCUGACGGUACCCAAAGAAUAAGCACCGGCUAACUUCGUG